GCCUCCUCGACCGCGCUCUCUGCUUCUGUUACCUUUUGCAGGUCCACCACUUUGACCUCAAGGUAACAAACUUUUCCCCUGAAAGCCAGCAGCCCUUUGCCCUUUGGACAUGGCCACUACUUUUUCUCGGUGGGGAGCCAGUCCUACGUACGGCAGACCGUGCGAAACACGGUUGCCUCUCUACCUACAGUCAGCCGGGCUUACUCCCGAGUAAAGGCGCCUAGGGGGACAGAGGGGGAGGGACGAGGGCGGUCGAGAGCGUCUGCUCGCAAGAGGCACCAGCAGAAGACCUCGGCGCGCACCUGCCUUUCUUCGCCGAGGUUCAGCGGGGCUGCAAGCCGCACCGACAGCUCCCUCCACCCGCCACUGGGAGCCUCCGCGCCCGCAUCCCGGCAAAGCAGCGGCGGCCUCUCGGGCUGAUGUCAUCGGCCGCUUGCGAGAGGCUGUGCCUGCGCGCUCGAGCCGAGAGGGGGAAUCGAGCCGCCAGUUGCGCGGGCCACGCAGCCUCGGCAGCGGCGACGACCAGCCGCGGGUUGGAGCUGCUCCUGGGCUGACGGAUGCGGGGAGAUGUAGGCAGCCGGAGCGCGGCUCCUCUUGCUAGCUGAGCUUCUGGCGGAUCCCGGGAAGGGCGCUUGGGCUUCCCAGCUGCGAGGGAUUCCGCCGACGGUGCGGGGCGAAAGGAAAGCCGGAGAGCCGCCGCCGCGCUUGGCAAGGAUGCGCGCUUCGUCGCAGCUGGCGGCGCCUUGUCUUGUCCCCGCUGCCGGGCUCCGGGCUCUGGCCCAGCGCAGGCAGCCGACGCCCCAGUGAUCGCAGCUGGAGGAGAGCGAGCCUCGCCAGGCUCCGCCGCGGGGACGCUUUCUCGCUCCAGCAAGCGAAGCUCUUUCCUCUCUGGGCAGGGCCCGUAGGCAGGGGAGAAGUUGGCGGCCCCUCUCGCCGCCCCCCGUCCUGCCCGAGCCCGCGGGAAUCCAAGCCAAGCCGCGGCCGCUGCCCCCUUCCCACGUUCCGAGGGGCCGCGGAGAGACGCGGCAGGCGGUGGCGCCGGAAAGCCGCCUCAGCUCAGGACCUCAAUACCUCAAGGACUGCCUCUCCCCACAUGGACUGACUUGGGCCCUGAGAUCAUCACUGGAGCCCCCCAGGAGGUCCCGAGGGUGGCAACACAAGAAGAGGCUCCUCACUUGUAGAAUGCUCUCCCCAGGGAGGAUCACAUGGCACCAUCAGUACAUUUCUUUAGGUGCCAGGCAAAAACAUUUCUCUUUUUUUGCCAGGCCUUUGACUCUUAAUAAGCUCUGGUCACUUUGACUGUGUGGAAUGUUUUAAAGCUGCCUUUUAAAAAUUUGAUUGCCCGUUAGAUUUUUCUUUGUUUUUCUUUUAUGCUGGUUCUAAUGUAUUGUGUGUUUCUUUACAUAUUGUACAUUGCCUUGAGCUGCCUUGUUUAAAAAGUGAUCAGUACAUUUACAUAAUAAUAA
Molecule: non-coding RNA, 1466 nt
Organism: Podarcis muralis (Common wall lizard)
Lineage: Eukaryota; Metazoa; Chordata; Lepidosauria; Squamata; Lacertidae
Source: RefSeq, a predicted model, not a curated record